UACGUAGGGGGCUAGCGUUGUCCGGAAUCAUUGGGCGUAAAGAGCGUGUAGGCGGCCCGGUAAGUCCGUUGUGAAAGUCGGGGGCUCAACCCUCGAAUGCCGGUGGAUACUGUCGGGCUAGAGUGCGGAAGAGGCGAGUGGAAUUCCUGGUGUAGCGGUGAAAUGCGCAGAUAUCAGGAGGAACACCGAUUGCGAAGGCAGCUCGCUGGGACGUAACCGACGCUGAGACGCGAAAGCGUGGGGAGCAAACAGG
Molecule: ribosomal RNA, 253 nt
Filed under: uncultured bacterium
Lineage: Bacteria
Description: partial 16S ribosomal RNA
Rfam family: Bacterial small subunit ribosomal RNA
Source: RNAcentral